AACAGGGUGGCUGAAUAUUAGGUUAUAAAUUGUAAAUUUAUAUAUGGAUUAAAUAAUCCCCUUGUUA
RNAcentral lists this transfer RNA (67 nucleotides) under Himacerus nodipes. Its description in RNAcentral is "tRNA-Tyr". Lineage: Eukaryota; Metazoa; Arthropoda; Insecta; Hemiptera; Nabidae. The record is from RNAcentral.